CCUACGGGUGGCAGCAGUGAGGAAUAUUGGUCAAUGGGCGGGAGCCUGAACCAGCCAAGUCGCGUGAAGGAAGAAGGUACUUAGUAUUGUCAACUUCUUUUGUCGGGGAACAAAGGCGGAGACGCGUCUCCGGAUGAGUGUACCCGAAGCAAAAGCAUCGGCUAACUCCGUGCCAGCAGCCGCGGUAAUACGGAGGAUGCGCGCGUUAUCCGGAUUUAUUGGGUUUAAAGGGUGCGCAGGCGGGAGAUCAAGUCAGCGGUAAAAUGUAGGGGCUAAACCCCGGCCGGCCGUUGAAACUGGUGUUCUAGAGGUGGAGAGAGGUAUGCGGAAUUCGUGGUGUAGCGGUGAAAUGCAUAGAUAUUACGAAGAACUCCGAUUGCGAAGGCAGCUCACUGGACUGCAACUGACGCUGAGGCUCGAAAGUGUGGGUAUCAAACAGGAUUAGAUACCCCUGUAGUC
Molecule: ribosomal RNA, 459 nt
Filed under: uncultured bacterium
Lineage: Bacteria
Description: partial 16S ribosomal RNA
Rfam family: Bacterial small subunit ribosomal RNA
Source: RNAcentral